ACCAGCAGCUAUAUCAACCUACACCUCACAACUGGCAGCCCACUGAAGCUCAGCAGGUGUGAGCUGGGUCAGUACCUGGAUGAGAGACCUCCUGGGAAAAACUAAGGUUGCUGCUGGAA
This 119-nucleotide ribosomal RNA is filed under the name Lepisosteus oculatus (spotted gar). Lineage: Eukaryota; Metazoa; Chordata; Actinopteri; Semionotiformes; Lepisosteidae. The record is from RNAcentral.